ACUCCUACGGGAGGCAGCAGUGGGGAAUCUUGGACAAUGGGCGCAAGCCUGAUCCAGCCAUGCCGCGUGAGUGAUGAAGGCCCUAGGGUCGUAAAGCUCUUUCGCCAGGGAUGAUAAUGACAGUACCUGGUAAAGAAACCCCGGCUAACUCCGUGCCAGCAGCCGCGGUAAUACGGAGGGGUUAGCGUUGUUCGGAAUUACUGGGGCGUAAAGCGCGCGUAGGCGGAUUAGUCAGUUAGAGGUGAAAUCCCGGGGCUCAACCCCGGAACUGCCUUUAAUACUGCUAGUCUUGAGUUCGAGAGAGGUGAGUGGAAUUCCGAGUGUAGAGGUGAAAUUCGUAGAUAUUCGGAGGAACACCAGUGGCGAAGGCGGCUCACUGGCUCGAUACUGACGCUGAGGUGCGAAAGUGUGGGGAGCAAACAGGAUUAGAUACCCUGGUAGGAUAGCG
Molecule: ribosomal RNA, 448 nt
Filed under: uncultured bacterium
Lineage: Bacteria
Description: bacterial SSU rRNA
Rfam family: Bacterial small subunit ribosomal RNA
Source: RNAcentral